Molecule: ribosomal RNA, 383 nt
Filed under: uncultured eukaryote
Lineage: Eukaryota
Description: partial 18S ribosomal RNA
Rfam family: Eukaryotic small subunit ribosomal RNA
Source: RNAcentral
CAAUAGCGUAUAUUAAAGUUGUUGCGGUUAAAAAGCUCGUAGUUGGAUCUCGGCAGGCGGGGGGUGGUUCGCUCUUAGCGCUACUGCCCCAUUUGCCUGUGUGAUUGGCGGAGGUUUCGGGGUGCUCUUCGUUGAGUGACCCGGGGCGCCGUCAGGUUUACUUUGAAAAAAUUAGAGUGCUCAAAGCAGGCUUUUCACGCUUGAAUAUUCGUGCAUGGAAUAAUGGAAUAGGAACUCGUUUCUAUUUUGUUGGUUUUCGGAAAUCGAGUUAAUGAUUAAUAGGGACAAUUGGGGGCAUUAGUAUUCAGACGACAGAGGUGAAAUUCUUGGACCGUCUGAAGACUAACUACUGCGAAAGCAUUUGCCAAGAGUGUUUUCAUUAA